GACGAACGCUGGCGGCGUGCCUAAUACAUGCAAGUCGAGCGAAGUUUUUCUGGUGCUUUCCCCUGAAAAACUUAGCGUCGAACGGGGGAGUAACACGUAAAGAACCUGCCUCAUAGACUGGGACAACUAUUGGAAACGAUAGCUAAUACCGGAUAAUAGCAUUAACUGCAUGGUUGAUGUUUAAAAGUUGGUUUUGCUAACACUAUGAGAUGGCUUUGCGGUGCAUUAGCUAGUUGGUGGGGUAAAGGCCUACCAAGGCGACGAUGCAUAGCCGACCUGAGAGGGUGAUCGGCCACACUGGGACUGAGACACGGCCCAGACUCCUACGGGAGGCAGCAGUAGGGAAUCUUCCGAAAUGGGCGAAAGCCUGACGGAGCAACGCCGCGUGAGUGAAGAAGGAUUUCGGUUCGUAAAGCUCUGUUGUUAGGGAAGAAAGAUUGUGUAGUAACUAUACACAGUAGAGACGGUACCUAAACAGAAAGCCACGGCUAACUACGUG
Molecule: ribosomal RNA, 499 nt
Filed under: uncultured bacterium
Lineage: Bacteria
Description: partial 16S ribosomal RNA
Rfam family: Bacterial small subunit ribosomal RNA
Source: RNAcentral